UGGGGAAUAUUGCACAAUGGGGGAAACCCUGAUGCAGCGACGCCGCGUGAACGAAGAAGGUAUUCGUAUCGUAAAGUUCUGUCCUAUGGGAAGAUAAUGACAGUACCAUAGAAGAAAGCUCCGGCUAAAUACGUGCCAGCAGCCGCGGUAAUACGUAUGGAGCGAGCGUUGUCCGGAAUUAUUGGGCGUAAAGGGUACGCAGGCGGUUUAAUAAGUCGAAUGUUAAAGAUCGGGACUCAACCCCGCAAAGCAUUGGAAACUGAUAAACUUGAGUAGUGGAGAGGAAAGUGGAAUUCCUAGUGUAGUGGUGAAAUACGUAGAUAUUAGGAGGAAUACCAGUAGCGAAGGCGACUUUCUGGACACAAACUGACGCUGAGGUACGAAAGCGUGGGGAGCAAACAGG
Molecule: ribosomal RNA, 403 nt
Filed under: bacterium
Lineage: Bacteria
Description: partial 16S ribosomal RNA
Rfam family: Bacterial small subunit ribosomal RNA
Source: RNAcentral